This 76-nucleotide transfer RNA is filed under the name Clostridioides difficile. RNAcentral describes it as "tRNA-Pro(tgg)". The stretch from base 7 to 65 matches the Rfam family "tRNA", at positions 8 to 63 of the family's 71-position model. From Rfam's summary of the family: Transfer RNA (tRNA) molecules are approximately 80 nucleotides in length. Their secondary structure includes four short double-helical elements and three loops (D, anti-codon, and T loops). Lineage: Bacteria; Bacillati; Bacillota; Clostridia; Peptostreptococcales; Peptostreptococcaceae. The record is from RNAcentral.
GAGGUGUAGCGCAGUUUGGUAGCGCACAUGGUUUGGGACCAUGGGGCCUGGGGUUCGAGUCCCUGAUGGCCCACCA